Molecule: transfer RNA, 73 nt
Filed under: Cercocebus atys (sooty mangabey)
Lineage: Eukaryota; Metazoa; Chordata; Mammalia; Primates; Cercopithecidae
Also listed under: 8 other names
Rfam family: tRNA
About the family: Transfer RNA (tRNA) molecules are approximately 80 nucleotides in length. Their secondary structure includes four short double-helical elements and three loops (D, anti-codon, and T loops).
Source: Rfam by way of RNAcentral
CAGAUUGAAGCCAGUUGAUUAGGGGGUUUAGUUGUUAACUAAAUUUUCGUGGGUUUGAAUUCUACCAAUCUAG